CAGUAGCCGCGGUAAUACGUAGGUGGCAAGCGUUGUCCGGAAUUAUUGGGCGUAAAGGGCUCGCAGGCGGUUUCUUAAGUCUGAUGUGAAAGCCCCCGGCUCAACCGGGGAGGGUCAUUGGAAACUGGGAAACUUGAGUGCAGAAGAGGAGAGUGGAAUUCCACGUGUAGCGGUGAAAUGCGUAGAGAUGUGGAGGAACACCAGUGGCGAAGGCGACUCUCUGGUCUGUAACUGACGCUGAGGAGCGAAAGCGUGGGGAGCGAACAGGAUUAGAUACCCGGGUAGUCCCUGUCUCUUAUAA
Molecule: ribosomal RNA, 301 nt
Filed under: uncultured bacterium
Lineage: Bacteria
Description: partial 16S ribosomal RNA
Rfam family: Bacterial small subunit ribosomal RNA
Source: RNAcentral